This is a long non-coding RNA of Manis pentadactyla (Chinese pangolin), 3351 nucleotides long. RefSeq lists it as uncharacterized. The record is from RefSeq and is a predicted model, not a curated record. The transcript has 3 exons. NCBI's taxonomy places the organism in Eukaryota, Metazoa, Chordata, Mammalia, Pholidota, Manidae.
CCGAACAGGGACCGUUGAAACUCAGAGCAGGGAAGCUCCGCUCUGGCGACCCUUGACAAGCAGAGCGGGCAGCUCCGAAGAUCGUCGAUCCGAAGGAAGCUGUCUGUGGCACACAUCGGGCGCUCGUCAGCCACUUAAAUGGGACGAGCCUGGCUGCUGAUGUCAAAGUCUCGAGCGACAGUUUCCCCUGCAUCUCCCUCAGUGGAUCCCCUGUCUCCCUUGGGAGCCGGGAAAGUCAGCUGAGCGGAGGCCCGGAUUCCCUUUCAGAGGCCUCUCCUUGGAUGCGAGAGACCGAGCAAGGCCGUGGGCAACUGCGAGACUCUAGGCUGAGGCUGCACUUCAGCGGCUUCUGAAAGGCCCGCGUGUCUGGAAUCAGACCCCGACAGCCCGACUGGGUAUCCGUGAGGAGCGCCUCUCUCUGUCUGUCUCUGACUUCCAGCCUGCUUCAGCCUGCCCUGGCCUCUGAGUGAGGCAGGGGGUGUCCCUAACUCUCUUCUAGCUUCAUCAAUCUCACGGAACCUGAUGCUCACGCCCACAAGAGGCAGUCGUCCUGGAGCUAAGCAUUUCCUUGUCUGCAGCCCCAGGGAAGCGAAACAAGCCUGUGACUCAGAUCAAGACUCUAAGCAGUGAAGAAAAGUCACACAGUCCCUGCACUUACCAGACAGGCAGGGGCCUCUCGAGGAAGGACUAAAGCUCAGGCAGAGGAAACUAGGAAAACUAACUGAGAGUAAUUCAAUCCCUACACUCUAAGAAAGAAGUGUCUUAUCUUCUGCACAUAAACCUGGCCUCAACACAAACACUCUGAUUAGAGAGGCUUGGCCCCUGAAAGAAGUAUGCGAUAUAAUGUUAUGCAGCUAAAUAUAUUUUGCCACAAGGAAAAUAGUGAAAAGUCCCGUGCACUACUACAAUAUGGAAGUAGUUAUCUAAAUUCCUUUAGUGAAAAUCUAUUCUACUUACUGGGUUCAUCAUUAUCUUUGAAAAUUGGGAAGUCUUAAACUAGACUCCCUGAGGUAGAAGAAAUUUAUCUUUUACAACACAGCCUGGCUUUAAAUGACUGCUGCUAGAAUUGUACUUGCAUUUCAUUUCCAGCCCCCUGGACACACACAGUCCGUAUCAGUUCAGAGCUUUCAUCGGCCCUGUUAGUCUGGGGCCAUCUAAACCUUAACCCAGUUACGUAAACUGCUCGCCCUUAGAGUGUAUUCUUGAAAACUGAAGUACUUUAAUCAAGUAAGCUAAAAAGAAAGAAGGCAAUUGAAUAUUAGUAACUCAAAUAUUUAAUCAGUUUGUGUAUAUGUUUUUGUAUGUAAAGUGUUGCUAACUGUAGUCAUUAUGUCUCAGUCUGUAUGUUUGUGUGUCUAAGCGUGUAAAUGAAAAAUACUUCCUACCUCCGGAUGGUAUUAAUAAAAAUUAAUUUAAAGACAAGCACUUGUGAACAUUGAGCAUUCUAAAACUUCCAGAAAAUCUAAUAAAAAAUGUUAAGCAUUAAAGCUAAUUUAAGUUUAAGUGAAACGGACAUGUCCUUAUAGUUAACAACUGCCAAAGUUUACUUAAAGUCAUUUAAGUUGAUGUUACCUGUUAAAUAUUUCAAGAAGAUGCUUAAAGAAAAGCUUGACUUUGAUGUUUGGUAAAAGUUUUAUAAGUAAUCUGGCAUGGUUGCUAAAAAUAAGUAAACAAGUGUAGCAAAUAAACAUCUUAAUAAUAAUACUGUAUUAAUGUAUAACAGUGUAUAUAUCUGCAAAAAGUUAGAAUUUUUGUGGCAACCAAAAUUCUUAAAGUUUGCUAAGUUAUAUAGACAUAUUUUAUGCUUAAUGAGAAAUUGUGCUGUAAGGCACAUUUCCAAAAAUGAUAAAAUAUGUUCAUAGAUGUAUCAAUCUGAAGAAUGCUGGUGUAACAGUUUACAGUGGCCUGUUUUUCAGUGUUUACUGAAGGUUAAGGUAACAAAUGGUUUUAAGUUCUAAUGAAAACUACUUAAUAUAAUAAGGAAAACAUUUCUGGAUGCUAAAGGAUGUAUAUUUUAAUAAGAGAAGGUAUAAGGAAUAGAAAUGCAUUGUAUUGAAAGUAAAAGAAGAUAACUAUUCAAAAGUACAGCUGUUUGUUUAAAGACAGUGAAGACUGAAUGUAAAAGUUGUAAAAAGUAUAAAAAAUUGAUAUAGUCAUGCUAUGUGAAAUUAAAGCAAAUAAAUCUUGAUAUCAAGUACACAGCAAGACUAGAAUUUUUGUUUGUUAAAAGAACAAAAGUUUCUUACUCUACCUUUAAUGUUGAAAGAUUGUAAAGUUUUCUGAUUAUUAAAACAGUUUCUUAUGCUUAAAGUCUCAAUGAAUUGUCUGAGUAUUUAAGAAAAUGAGAUCUUAAUAUUAAAAAGACUAAGCUAAGUGUUGUUAACUGUGUAACCUUCUGCAUUUGCUUUUAAACUUUCUUAUUAUCAUUCUGGUUAAAUAGUAAGUGUUAUUUAAUAACUAUAAUUAUAUUUAGGCAAGUGCCUUAAAAACUUUUGACAACUUCCCAAGACCAAAUUUAGAAAAGUGUGUUUUUACCUCUAAUUAACUCUGAUAUUUUCCAGAGGGCCCCUGGAACAUGUCAGAGGAAUUUCUUCUCAUCAAGGAAAAUAUUUGACUAAUUUGGCUUAUUUACCCGAUAUAUAUUUACCUGGAGAGCCCUGCCAAAGGGAAUAAUGCCAAACUUUAUUACUGAAUGUUUCAUGUUACAGAAAUGCCGCGCUUCCCCCCGAGACGCUCACUCCUGAUGCCCAGUUACAUUCACCUGUUAGCACGGCUAUGAUCACUGGCUGUGUGUGUAUUGAUUGUACUCAUGUGCCCUCUUACUGUAAUUCUACAAUCAAUGUAAAAUGGUCUUCUGGAUAUAGACUUCCAAAUGGUUGGGUAUUUUUGUGUAAUGGCAAAACAUAUCAAGCCCUUUCUUCACACUAUUGAGGUGUUUGUGGGGUGGAACGCAUUCUUCCUGAUCUAAUAGACCAUCUGGAUAGAAGCGUAAGAGACGUCUCCGAGCUCUGCCGUCAGAUUGUGAUGAAAACUUGGAACUUGGAGAUCCUGCCGCUGUUGCAGUUGCAGCUGCGUUCCUCCUGCCGGUUCCUGGACUUGUCGUAGGAAUGCAGAAAGAGAUCUCUAAGCUGGCCUGUGCAUCCAGCAAAACAACAAAUUUGACUGCUUCUGUAUUAUCGGAACUCAGCCAAGAACUGGGAGAAGUGCGAGCUGCAGAGCCUCAGGAUCGCGCUGCUAUGGACCGUCUGCUGUUAAAAGAGCACGUAGGAUGUGAACAGUUUCCAAGAAUGUGUUGUCUCAAUUUGUCUGAUUCUUCUCAAACUAUUCAAAAUCAAUUAGAUGAUAUCCAUC